Molecule: small nuclear RNA, 24 nt
Filed under: Arabidopsis thaliana (thale cress)
Lineage: Eukaryota; Viridiplantae; Streptophyta; Magnoliopsida; Brassicales; Brassicaceae
Description: snRNA_06176
Source: RNAcentral
AUUACUAUACAUUUAAAAUCAAAU